AUGACGCUGCGUCGAAGGCGUGUGGGUGGCGCCCGGCCGGAGGGGCCGAGAGGCGGGGGCGGCGCGGGGCGGGAGGAGGCAGAGGGCAGGGCAACACCCCUCCGCCCCCUCCCCCGCGCCUCUAUUCUCCCCCUCCCGACACCCCCUACCUUCCUCUCCUCCCUCCCCGCCCCCACAACUGGGCUGGUCCUCCUCCAUCCACUCCUCCCCCCAUUCACUCCUCCCCUCAAGCCCUCUCACCUCCCCUUCCCUCCCCCAUCCACUCCUCCCCACAUCCCCUCACCUCCCUGUCCCUCCCCGUGCCCCAAUCCCCGCAAACCUGGGCUGCUCCUGCCCCUUCCACGCCUUCCUGCUCCCUCCCUCCCUGUCCCCUUCCCCUCCUCCCCACCCCCAUCUCCCCUUUACCCUCUUUCUUCCCAAACCCCUCUUCCUUCCUCUCCUUCCCCACAGGCCACUUCUCCUUUCCCCCUCCUGGCCCCCUGUCUCCUCCUCCCAUCCCCCACCCCGGCUUUAGUCUCCCAUCCCCCCUACACCCCCUUGCCUCUGCCUCCUCACAGCCCCCUACUUAUCCUAUUGCCUCCCUCCUGGGGCCCCUUCAGAUCCCUAGGGCCUCUUUGUCUCUCUCUGUUUUCUCCCAUUCCAGCCCCUGAUGACCAGGCCCCGCACCUCUGCUGGGGUCUGCCGCACACAGUAAGCUGCCUGGGAGUCCUCAUUGCCUUCCUGGGCAACCCAGCUAAAGGCCGCCCAGCAGCUGCAGCCCUGGAGAUGACAAAUCUGAGACCAAAGAUGAAUCAGCUUGGCAGUGUUCACAGAGCCAGCCUGUGGAAAAGCCAGAAUCCAGAAUCCAGUCCCAGGCCCUGCCUGCAGCAUCCCGGCUCUUACUGACACCUAAACGGCCACUGCCUCUUGGCUUAGUGCUCUUCCUUCUAAAAA
RNAcentral lists this long non-coding RNA (933 nucleotides) under Callithrix jacchus (white-tufted-ear marmoset). RNAcentral describes it as "lncRNA (ENSCJAG00000074979.1)". Lineage: Eukaryota; Metazoa; Chordata; Mammalia; Primates; Cebidae. The record is from RNAcentral.